UGAGGAAUAUUGGUCAAUGGGCGAGAGCCUGAACCAGCCAAGUAGCGUGCAGGAUGACGGCCCUAUGGGUUGUAAACUGCUUUUAUAUGGGAAAAAAGUGAGGGACGUGUCCCUUAUUGCAUGUACCAUAUGAAUAAGGACCGGCUAAUUCCGUGCCAGCAGCCGCGGUAAUACGGAAGGUCCAGGCGUUAUCCGGAUUUAUUGGGUUUAAAGGGAGCGUAGGCUGUUUGUUAAGCGUGUUGUGAAAUGUAAGAGCUCAACUUUUAGAUUGCAGCGCGAACUGGCAGACUUGAGUGCGCACAACGUAGGCGGAAUUCAUGGUGUAGCGGUGAAAUGCUUAGAUAUCAUGACGAACUCCGAUUGCGAAGGCAGCUUACGGGAGCGCAACUGACGCUAAAGCUCGAAGGUGCGGGUAUCGAACAGG
This 424-nucleotide ribosomal RNA is filed under the name Verrucomicrobiota bacterium. Its description in RNAcentral is "Verrucomicrobia bacterium partial 16S ribosomal RNA". It matches the Rfam family "Bacterial small subunit ribosomal RNA", at positions 355 to 776 of the family's 1533-position model. The record is from RNAcentral. Lineage: Bacteria; Pseudomonadati; Verrucomicrobiota.